UAAAAACCGUUGAUGGGGUCAGUAAUCAGUAUGAAAUUUCCAGAGAGCCGGUGGUAGCUGAAAACCGGUAAUUUCAGCUGAUGAAUCCACCCCUGAGGGAACUGCCGAAUCCGAAGUAGUAAGUAGUUACGUUACCGGGCGUUAACCGGUUAGAGUUGGGGCUCAUUGCCCAACUAGGGUGGCAACGCGAGCAGACCCUCGUCCCUAAU
Molecule: non-coding RNA, 209 nt
Filed under: Natranaerobius thermophilus
Lineage: Bacteria; Bacillati; Bacillota; Clostridia; Natranaerobiales; Natranaerobiaceae
Description: T-box sequence
Rfam family: T-box leader
About the family: Uncharged tRNA acts as the effector for transcription antitermination of genes in the T-box leader family. T-boxes are found upstream of many aminoacyl-tRNA synthetase genes and some amino acid biosynthetic genes usually in Gram-positive bacteria.
Source: RNAcentral